GAAAAAGAAAUGUAUUUUUUUUAGUUUUCUGAUUUGUAUUAUAUAAAUAUUUUUCCAAUGUUUUGUUAUACUUAUUUUUAGCAAUGUUUUAGCUCAAACAAAUUAUUUCAAAAGAAGCAUAGUAAAGAAACAUCCUGGUGAAAAAAGAUUGAUUGAUUUUUAGUGUUAAACAUCACUUUCAGCAAUAUUGAUUAUAUCUUGGUGGCCAUUUUUUUUUAUUGGUUGAGAAAGUCAGAGUAAUGGGAGAGAACCACCAAAUUGAAAAUUGAUGUACUAAAUAUUUUUUUUAAAUGUUUGAAUAUUUUAUAUCAAAUUAUUUAUUUUUAAUUAUAGCUAUACCAUUUUUUUGUUGUUAGAUAUAGCAAUGAUGUGGAGUCCAAACAGGUGAAAUUUUUGGCAAAGGGAGGUAAUUUAUUAUUCCCCUGUUUAACUCCUUAUUCUUGAAAUUUCCUCAUGGUAGGGAAUAUAUAACUAUUUACUUUAAUUUCACAUUUGUACAAGUUUUGGGUUUAAUAUCAGAUGUAUACUAGCUAAUAAGGACUAUUAUUCAGAGUUCUGUAAAUAAAAAAAUGUAAACAGAGCUCUAGAUAAUAGAUUUGAGGGUGGGAGAAAUCAUGGGUUACUUCUUGUAGAAUUGAUUUGGUGAAAUUUUCAAGAUAGGAGAUUAAUUGAAAGUGCAUCUGAUAUCUUUAUUCAUUUCUAUAAAUAAUGGACCAAAAAAUGACAGAUUGACAAUCAGAUAAUGAUGACAGCCACCCUGGCAGCCAGGAGAGCAGCUCUAAGGAAGAUGGUCAAUAAAAUCUUCAACCAAGUCUGAGGCUUUACCAUGAAAUUGAGAAGGCAAGUUUAUUGAAGUCAAACAAUUUUUAUACAUUUUCUAGAAAUAUUUGAUAAAAAGUGCAUAUUCAUCUUUUUUUUCUGCGUGAAAAACAUCUUUGAAGAAUGUAUUUACCAGUUUAAUAUUUUGAGAUACCAGUUACAUUAACAAGAAUUUCUAUCACAAUUACUGGAGUAAAUCCUGAGAUAGGGAUUAUAUCUCAAGGGGAGACUAGUUUUAUUAACAGCAAGAUUUGUUCAUUCAAUGGGAGACAACUCAUUUUCAUUAUUCAAAUUAGUUGAGUUCAGUUGAAAUUCAAAUCAUAAAACUUUGACAAUUUUUUUUUUUUUUCAAUCUUUAUAAAUUUUACAGAAUAUGUGGAUGUUAUACUAUUGGUACAUGAAGUAAGAAAUCAGAACAAUUUGUAAAGUAAUCUUUAGGUUGACAUAGAAAUUGGUUUGUAAAAUUAAUAAAUGUGUUAAUUUCUUUUUAGGUACUUUCUGUGGCAUGUUUUCAUGGUGUUGGAAUAAGACUUGGUGGUCAAAUACAGCUAAUAUGAAGGUAGGUACCAGUAAUAUUAAUCCUGUUUAAAAAAAAUAAUUCUAUAAAUAAUAUUAUUUGGAAAUAAAUACUGACUAGGGUUAAAGGUUUAUAAAAGUUUGGUCAACAGUAUACUCUUUAUUUUAUCAGUACCAUAUGACAAUGUUCACUUGGCAAAAUAUGGCCUUAUUAUAGAUUUUAAAUUUCAACUUUCAUCAUAGAAUUCCAAAAAGGCCCCAAUCUGGUUCUUAAAUGGAUAUAUCAAGAGACUUAUGGCGACAUAAAAGAAAAAGCUUCUUUAUAAUACACUGUAGACUCCAUAAUUAGCUAAAUUGGGAGAUAUUAUCAAAAUGCGAUGUUCUUACCUAAAAGCUUAAAGAAUACCUUUGAUCCAAAAUGUUAAGUAACCUAUAGGUGCCAAGGGUAAUAUUUAAAUUACAAGACAUACACUAUUACUGGAUCAGGGAAAGUGAAUUAUGCUGAAAACUGUUCUAAAUUGUGAAAAAUUGGACCUUUAUUGGCGCUUUUGCGAAAAACACCAGAAUUGCAUAAUCAAGAGGUCAUAACUUUGUAGUUUAUAUUGUUAAAUGCCAAAAAAAGAAGUGGUUAUUUUGUAUCAAAAAUGAUACCACAACAAUUUAUAUGUAGCAUUUGGACCUGAAUUAAAAAAGAUUAAAAUCUUAUGGCCAACUUUAGCCCUUUUAAACCUACCGCUUUUAAGGAUUGAAUUGGGUUGUUGGAUUGAUGUCUUAUCAAUGUUCUCAAAACCUGUCACAUGUAUAUAACCCAUUUUAUAUAAAGUAGAUACGGUAUUCCAGAAGUGAUCCUUUAAAACAAUUUUGAUUGACUAAGCAUUUUAUAUUUCAGGUUAGCACCACAGCUUGUCUGUAGGGAUUGAAGCUGGGAAAGGGCCAUUGGAGCUGAAUUUUAUGGUAAGAACUAAAAAAAAGAUUGAACUAUUCAUCUAAGAGUAUGUAAAUGCACCAUGGACUUUUUUAUGUACACAUGUAGAUCUAACAUUUAAAAAAAAAAAUCCAAAUUAAAAGUUUAUUUAUACCGGUAAUCUGGAUAGGGUAUAUAAGAAUAAAGAGAUGUUAUAAGAUUGCCAACUACACAACUAUCAAUAAAGGAAGCAAAUUACAGUCACCGUAGGACAUUCAGCAAUGAGCAAAAUCUAUAUGAAUGUAAAUAAUGCAACUGGUUGAAUAUCACAAUAGGAACUCAGUGUAUUCAUAAUUUUAAUCUCUGAUGCAUAACUUUGAAGGCAGAUUUUUCUGAAAUCGGGAUUAUUAAUCUUGCAUAUUUAUCCAUUUAUUAAAAAAUCAAGAAUAGAUGCAUGCAAUAAUUUCUGAAUUUACAGUACCAGUUUUAAAGUAAGCUAUAAGAGGUACUGAAUAUGACAAAAUGUGAAACAAUUUCAAACAAGAAAACCAACGCAAUGAUUCAUGAAAAAGAAUAAUCGAAAAAAAUAAACAUGACACACACCAACCAUUGGUUAGUUUUUCAUCCUUAUUUGCUAAUAAUUGUAUUAGAUAUAGUUUAAAUUUUGAUAUAGGCUUGAUCAUAUGUUUUGACAGAUAUGUUUAAGAAUAUUUAUUUCUUUUUCAGGAAACUUUGACUGUGGCUGCCACAUAAAAUGAUUAUAUGAUAACAGUGAAGAAAGUUAGUCAGAAAACUUUUGUAUAUGUUUCAGAAAAUGUAAUUUUUUACAACAAAAAAAAACAAAAAAAAAGAAUGUGUAAAGAUUCUCCACUUUCAACUAGAUUGGAAGCUUGUAUUUAAAAUUUCAAAAUUACUCUUACUUUUCUUGUCGUGCUUAUAGAAACUGAACUUUAUAUGUUUCAUAAUUUAGAUCUUAUUCGUUAUUCCCCAACCCCCUGUAACUCUGUUUCAUUUUUACUUUGAAAAUGAAAUGAAACAGAAAAAAUUUACUUGUAAACUUAAUAAUGGUCUGUCUAGUCCAAAGGCUUUCAGUCGGUUAAGAAUGGAGAAUCUAAAAAAAAAAAAAUAAAAAAAAUGAAAAAAAAUAUAUUGUGUUUUUGUGUUUCCUGAAUUGUUAUAUAUUUUUCCAACUUUUUGUUAUUUUUUUGCAGUGCUUUUAGCUAAAAAAAUUAAAAUUAUUUCACUAGAAGCAGAGUAGAACAUAUUGGUGAAAAAAGAUUGAUUGAUUGAUUGAAUUUUGGUGUAUAAUGCCACUUUCAGCCCAAUUUGUAAUAUCUUGAUGGCCAUUUUUUAUGGGUUGAAAAAGUUAAAAGUAACAGUAGAUACCCACCAACUUUUCCCCCAGGGAACUGUCAAUUCUAGUCAAUUAAGCUUUGAGUCAAACACACCUACCACAGGUUGGGUUUGAAUUCUCAACCUCAUUUUGACAUGCUAGAGAUACAAUAAUACUUCUUAGACCACUGCCACUAAGGCCCUUAGGUAAAAGGAAGUUAAGACUAAAUUAGUUUUUGAAAUGU
This 3816-nucleotide long non-coding RNA is filed under the name Mytilus galloprovincialis (Mediterranean mussel). Lineage: Eukaryota; Metazoa; Mollusca; Bivalvia; Mytilida; Mytilidae. The record is from RNAcentral.